CGACCCUAUGCUUUCAUCCCACCACCAAACUGGCGGAGCGCACUUCAUUGCGACACAAUGUCUUGUCUUGAAGCGCUACCCCCUUCCCCCCCCCGCCACACACACACACACACACGUGUCUCUUGCACUGAAAGCCACGCCCCUGCUCGGAGCGAACAGGCAAGGGCAGCAGAAACCAUGAGGCCUAACUCUCUCCCUGUGUGCCUGUGCGAGUGUGGCGGCGCACACAACUGCAGCGCUUUGCGCAAAAUGAUGAUUUGCUGCGCGUGUGCCUUGACUGCAGGCCGCGAUGAAUAAAACAUCGGUCAACGCUUCCUUGCGAGCAGUCUCUGGUGUGCGCCCCACGUUCUGCGUACACCACUUGCUCCCCUCCUUUUAUGAGCCACUGAUGACGGGUCGCACCUCUCAGGGCGUGGUGGUGUCACAGGGCCCAGUACAUCCCCUCCCACUCUCUCUGUGUGUGCGUGGAGAAGCCGGGCAGCCCCCCUCCCCUCCUGUGCUUGCGAAAUGCCGAGCGGCUUCUGGCGGUGACAGGGUCUGGUGACUGCGACGUGGGGAGGUCAGAGCGAUGCAUUGCUACUGAUGUCGGCAGUGAGGUCGUGGGCGGCGUUGCGUCGGAGCGACCCGUGCCGCUGAACACGUCGGCGCCAUCGACAUGAUGGGCGAAGUGCCAGCGUGACUGGAAGGCGUCGCAGCCGGCCCUCACACUGCCCGCUGGUGUGUGUGGCGGGGGGCCUGGGGCACCGCACGAGGGGGUGCGCGAGGUGGUGGCGUGCGUGAUGGGUGCGACUGUGAGGCGACCUGCGAGGCCGGGGCGGUGCUGAGGUGACUGCGUGUGUGCGCAUUGCUGUGAGGCAUGCGUCUCUGGCUGCAUUGCACCACGCGGGGUGCGCCUGUGGCAGGGCCGGGGAGGGCUGGAGUGGGGCUUGACUCCUGUUGUAUGGCCGGGAGGAUGGGCUCACGCUGAAGCAAGAGAAAAAAGACUUUGUUUUGCGUGCUUCGACCUCUGCUGUCGAGGCCGCCUGGCCGACUGACAUCCUACCGUGGUGAUCAAGGCCAUCUAUCCCGCGCUGAUCGCUUCCAUUCUCUGUUGAGUGUAUCUGUUUGCUUUGUCGAUCGCGUCUCUCUCCCUCUCUCUGAAAG
RNAcentral lists this unclassified non-coding RNA (1143 nucleotides) under Leishmania donovani. RNAcentral's name for it is "gene:unknown". Lineage: Eukaryota; Euglenozoa; Kinetoplastea; Trypanosomatida; Trypanosomatidae. The record is from RNAcentral.